Dromiciops gliroides (monito del monte) is the source of this 1505-nucleotide long non-coding RNA. RefSeq lists it as uncharacterized. The record is from RefSeq and is a predicted model, not a curated record. The transcript is spliced from 7 exons. Lineage: Eukaryota; Metazoa; Chordata; Mammalia; Microbiotheria; Microbiotheriidae.
UGGGAGGGGCAAGCAGGGAGGGCGCGUGCGCGUGCGCUUGUGUAGGCGCAGGGAUCUCGCACCUGCAGCCGAAUUACAGCAGGGGGAGGGUCGGGCUGGGCUGAGGCGACGAAGUUCUCUCUUAGGGUGGCGGCAGCAGCAGCAGGAGGGGGAACAGGGUGGCUGCAGCAGGAGUGAGUGGAGUGCCUGCAGUGGAAAUGAAGGAUCUCCCUGUGUUCUGAGGAUCCAGUCACCUUGGGGAUAGAUUUCUGGCCUGGGGUUCCAAGAGCACAGGCUUCAGACCGGAACCAAGACCCCACUACACUCACAGCAUCAGAACCACACAGAUGCUGCUGCUGCUUCUGAACUUCCUCUUCAGGCCACAGCCCAAGGCCUCCUCACAGCCCUGGAUCUGCGACCCAGAAGUGGAGAGUGAGCAACAGACCUGGCACUUGGCAGCCAUUUCUGCACCCUUCAUAAGGAAGACUAAAAAAAUGAAAGAAAGUGAUACAGUAUCAGUUCUUUCUCUGGAGGAGAUCGUGCUUCAUCAUGAGUCCUUUGGCAUUGUCUUGGAUCGUCAUAUGGCCGAGAGUAGGCUUCCUUCAAAUUGUGGUUGUGGACGUGCCAUUUCAUCCAUGAGAAACAGCAAAAAAACGCCACUUCAUUGACUUACAAGGAAACUUCCAAUCUUCUUUAAGGCUUCAGACUGGAACCAAGACCCCACUACACUCACAGCAUCAGAGCCACGCUGCUGCUGCUGCUUCUGAACUUCCUCUUCAGGCCACAACCCAAAGCCUGCAACCCCUCCUCACUCAGCCCUGGAUCUACGACCCAGAAAUGGAGCCUGAGCAACAGACCUGGUACUUGGCAGCCAUUUCUGCACCCUUCAUAAGAGCACAGAAUUAGAAACUGAGGAGGUGCCCAUCAACUGGAGAGACAAGUUGUGGCAUAUAGAUAGAAUGAAAUACCACAGCGCUGUAAAAAAUGAUGAAAGGAAUGAUUUCAGAGAAACAGGCAAAGACUUGUAUGAACUGAGGGAGAGUGAACACAACCAGGAAAACACUUUAUACUGACAACAAUACUGUGAGGUCAACUGCAAAAGAUUCUGCAACUGUUAUCACCUGAUCACCUUAAUGACCAACCACUAUUUCAGAGCACUAGGGAUGAAGCAUGCUACCCACCUCCUCAACAAGAAGUGAAAGAUUCAGAGUACCCAAUGAGACAUUUUUCUCAUAUGUCCAAUGAGAUUUGUUUUGUCUGACUACACAUUUGCAACAUGGGUUUUGCUUUUCUUUCUUAAUUUGUGUGGGGGGAGGGGAGUGAUGGUGAGAGAGAAGGCAGAUUUUUGCCAACUGGAAAAAAUAAAAUUUAAUGUAAAAUGAAGACAGGAUGCUUUAGUGAUGCUUACAAUUAGGCAUUACAUUGCGAAAAAAUAAUUAAAUCAGGGCAGCUAGGCACCACAGUGGAUAGAGAGCUGGCCCUGGAUUCAGAAGGAUCUGAGGAAAAAUCCAGCCUCAGACACUUAU